UACGUAUGUCCCGAGCGUUAUCCGGAGUUACUGGGCGUAAAGAGUCUGUAGCCGGAUUUAUAAGUCUAUUUUCAAAUAUUACGACUCAAUCGUAAAAAGGGAAUAGAUACUGUAUAUCUAGAGGAUUUUAGGAGUUAAUGGAAUUUCCGGUGGAGCGGUGAAAUGCGUUGAUAUCGGAAGGAAUGCCGAAAGCGAAAGCAGUUAACUAUAAAAACCCUGACGGUCAGAGACGAAAGCUUGGGUAGCAAACGGG
Molecule: ribosomal RNA, 253 nt
Filed under: uncultured bacterium
Lineage: Bacteria
Description: partial 16S ribosomal RNA
Rfam family: Bacterial small subunit ribosomal RNA
Source: RNAcentral